Long non-coding RNA from Fundulus heteroclitus (mummichog), 836 nucleotides. RefSeq lists it as uncharacterized. The record is from RefSeq and is a predicted model, not a curated record. Lineage: Eukaryota; Metazoa; Chordata; Actinopteri; Cyprinodontiformes; Fundulidae. The transcript is spliced from 4 exons.
GUCAAAGUGUGAAUCUUAUCACUUUGUGGUGGGUCCAUGAAAUGCAAUGAUACAGCUUUUAAAAGCAGGCGUAAAGUUGCGUGCUAAGUGCACGGAGAACAAAAAGCGGUCUUUAAGGACUACAAUUUGAAUCGGCAUCAUAAAACACAGAGAGAAGUAAAAUAAUUUGACGGAUGUGGAGCGGACAUCAGAAGAUUUACUGGCUUUAAAGAAACACUUUGAAAUGAUGGAGGAGCUGGCAGCUAUGAGGUCAAUGAAAGGCACCACUAAUGGGGAGGGACGUGUUCACACAGGUAACUACGUCCAUGGAGACGCUGCCUGGGACAAAAAUGGCACAAAAUGGUUGGAGUUACAACCGACGGCUGUCCAGAUCUGAACUGUGCAAGAUAAAGUCUCUGGAAUAAUCCCUGAAUGAGCAAGAGCACCGAAUCACAGACAGUUUGUUUCACUGUUGGAGGAUCAUUAUAGUGAACAUAGUGGCUUAGGACCAUCAAAAGGCCUGCGGAAACAUACAGAAAGCCUACUGUGGGGAACCAUCAGGUCCUGUUAACAGGACCUCAGGGACCUGACAUGUGGGUGCACAAGCCCUCUGAUAUGCUGUCUGUCCAUGGAGAGCUCUUUAAAACCAAAGAUCUUGGUCGUUCCUUCAGCAACUAUUCCUUUUCUACAAAAACCUUCUGGAAAACUCCCCGGUUCCACAGUCGUCUGCCUGCCUGCCCUCCCACUCACCAGCCACUCAAGAGCACAAAUCCCUCCGGAUAGCUCGCAGAAUCUCACCUCCAAACCACACCUCCAUCCUUCUGACACAGUAAGUUAAAGAUCAUCCUUUUGUCCAA